AGAAGUGAGCUUGAACAGCUCAUCUCAAAGGACUGGCUAACCAACUAUGAGAGGCUUCACGCCAUCUCUCAGCCAAUCCAGAUUACAGAAUCUUCUUUAAGAAGAAAUGCUGAUGGCAUGGUGCAAACCACUUUCCAACCACCUCGGCACUCCACAAGAUCCUCACCUGUGUUUCAGACCAUGAUGGUCUAGCUAUUAGAAAAGGAAUAAGAAGAUUUCCCUAUUAGAGCAGUAACUCCAGAAAACCAUUAUGUCUAUCCAAUGAAGAUAGAUGGUCAUUGCCCUUGGGAUCUCCCAGGAUCUAGCAUGUGUGACCCAGACUGUGACUGCUGCGACAACUACUGGGAAAAUGAAUACGACCAUCCCCUAUCUGACAAAAAUUAGAAAAAGCUCACUAAGAAGUCUAGGACUUCUUGCAAAUCUCCUUAAGUCCUUAGAAGGGAUUAUCUUGACAAUAGUCCAUGGAUAGGCAUCCAUGAAGAGACUAAACAAAAGAGGCCCCUUCCAAUAUGAGCUUGCUUUAGAAAUCAUCAGAAACAAAGAAGGACGGAAACAGUCUUCUCCUAUUCCUUCUCUUACUCCUCCUGCACUACCAUUAAUGCAGCCUUGCAUGAUGUUCUCUCCUGCCUCUUAU
RNAcentral lists this unclassified non-coding RNA (634 nucleotides) under Hevea brasiliensis (rubber tree). Lineage: Eukaryota; Viridiplantae; Streptophyta; Magnoliopsida; Malpighiales; Euphorbiaceae. The record is from RNAcentral.